This 933-nucleotide ribosomal RNA is filed under the name Salmonella enterica subsp. enterica serovar Typhi. RNAcentral's name for it is "partial 23S ribosomal RNA". It matches the Rfam family "Bacterial large subunit ribosomal RNA", at positions 1990 to 2925 of the family's 2925-position model. Lineage: Bacteria; Pseudomonadati; Pseudomonadota; Gammaproteobacteria; Enterobacterales; Enterobacteriaceae. The record is from RNAcentral.
GCACGAAAGGCGUAACGAUUUGGGCACUGUCUCAACGAGAGACUCGGUGAAAUCAUAGUACCUGUGAAGAUGCAGGUUACCCGCGACAGGACGGAAAGACCCCGUGGAGCUUUACUGUAGUCUGAUAUUGAAAUUCGGCACAGCUUGUACAGGAUAGGUAGGAGCCUUUGAUACGUGAGCGCUAGCUUACGUGGAGGCGUUGGUGGGAUACUACCCUCGCUGUGUUGGAUUUCUAACCCGCACCAUUGAUCAUGGUGGGAGACAGUGUCAGAUGGACAGUUUGACUGGGGCGGUCGCCUCCUAAAGAGUAACGGAGGCGCUCAAAGGUUCCCUCAGAAUGGUUGGAAAUCAUUCACAGAGUGUAAAGGCAUAAGGGAGCUUGACUGCGAGACUUACAAGUCGAGCAGGGUCGAAAGACGGACUUAGUGAUCCGGUGGUUCCGCAUGGAAGGGCCAUCGCUCAACGGAUAAAAGCUACCCCGGGGAUAACAGGCUUAUCUCCCCCAAGAGUUCACAUCGACGGGGAGGUUUGGCACCUCGAUGUCGGCUCAUCGCAUCCUGGGGCUGUAGUCGGUCCCAAGGGUUGGGCUGUUCGCCCAUUAAAGCGGUACGCGAGCUGGGUUCAGAACGUCGUGAGACAGUUCGGUCCCUAUCCGUCGUGGGCGUAGGAAAUUUGAGAGGAGCUGUCCUUAGUACGAGAGGACCGGGAUGGACAUACCUCUGGUGUACCAGUUGUCGUGCCAACGGCAUCGCUGGGUAGCUAUGUAUGGACGGGAUAAGUGCUGAAAGCAUCUAAGCAUGAAGCCCCCCUCAAGAUGAGAUUUCCCAACUUCGGUUAUAAGAUCCCUCAAAGAUGAUGAGGUUAAUAGGUUCGAGGUGGAAGCAUAGUGAUAUGUGGAGCUGACGAAUACUAAUCGAUCGAAGACUUAAUCAA